Molecule: ribosomal RNA, 303 nt
Filed under: bacterium
Lineage: Bacteria
Description: bacterial SSU rRNA
Rfam family: Bacterial small subunit ribosomal RNA
Source: RNAcentral
AGNAGCCGUANAUGCAGUCGAGCGGUAACAGAAAGUAGCUUGCUACUUUGCUGACGAGCGGCGGACGGGUGAGUAAUGCUUGGGAACAUGCCUUGAGGUGGGGGACAACAGUUGGAAACGACUGCUAAUACCGCAUAACGUCUACGGACCAAAGGGGGCUUCGGCUCUCGCCUUUAGAUUGGCCCAAGUGGGAUUAGCUAGUUGGUGAGGUAAUGGCUCACCAAGGCGACGAUCCCUAGCUGGUUUGAGAGGAUGAUCAGCCACACUGGGACUGAGACACGGCCCAGACUCCUACNNGAGGCA